Molecule: ribosomal RNA, 506 nt
Filed under: Phytosciara orcina
Lineage: Eukaryota; Metazoa; Arthropoda; Insecta; Diptera; Sciaridae
Description: partial 16S ribosomal RNA
Source: RNAcentral
GUCUUUUUGCAUUAAAUAUAAAGUCUAACCUGCCCAUUGAAUUUUUUAAAAGGCUGCGGUAUUUUGACCGUACAAAGGUAGCAUAAUCAUUAGUUUUUUAAUUGAAAACUUGUAUGAAUGGUUGAAUGAGAAAUUAACUUUUUUAAUAGAAAAAUUGAAUUUUACUUUUUAGUUAAAAGGCUAAAAUAAAUUUAAAAGACGAGAAGACCCUAUAGAGUUUUAUAAUUAUAGACAUAUUUUUUUAUAGGGUUAUUUUUUAAUAUAUAGAUAAGAUUAUUUUAUUGGGGUGAUAAUAAAAUUUAAUAAACUUUUAUUUCUAUUGAACAUUAAUAUAUGAUUAAUUGAUCCAGUAUUAUUGAUUAAAAAUUUUAAUUACCUUAGGGAUAACAGCGUAAUUUUUUUUUAAGUUCUUAUUAAUAAAAGAUUUUGCGACCUCGAUGUUGGAUUAAGAUUAAAUUUUGGGUGCAGCAGCUUAAAUUUUAAGUCUGUUCGACUUUUAAAUUCUU